UCGAGAACCGACCGAGAGACCGCGAACCCGUAAACGGAUGACACCGUGUCGGGCGGACAAUUUACUUUGCUCGCCCUGCUCGGGACCUCGCAUCGUGUCCGCGGUCGCCUCCGAGCGCCCCGGACACGAUUUGCGGGGGACGGACGAAACCCCGGCGCGGCCUGCGCCAAGGAACAUAUGACAGGACGGGCGCACGUCAACGCCUCAGCGGCGGCGUGGCGCCCGCUCUCUAUCUAUACGACUCUCGGCAACGGAUAUCUCGGCUCUCGCAUCGAUGAAGAACGUAGCGAAAUGCGAUACUUGGUGUGAAUUGCAGAAUCCCGUGAACCAUCGAGUCUUUGAACGCAAGUUGCGCCCGAGGCCUUUCGGUUGAGGGCACGCCUGCCUGGGCGUCACGCCUUGUUUCGCUCUGUUCUCAUGCCCCUUCGGGGGCGGUCACGGAUGCGGAGACUGGCCCCCCGUGCCUCGUGUGCGGCGGGCUUAAGCGCGGGCUGUCGGCGUCGGGAUGGGCGCGACGAGUGGUGGACGGAGCACCAGCAGGAUGUCGUGGCCCCCCGUCGCCUUAAGGGGCUCAAUGGACCCGGACCAGGCGAGCCGUGCUCCGUACGAGGAGGGCGUGCCGUCUCGCAAC
RNAcentral lists this unclassified non-coding RNA (631 nucleotides) under Fritillaria meleagris. RNAcentral describes it as "sequence contains ITS1, 5.8S rRNA gene and ITS2". The stretch from base 240 to 395 matches the Rfam family "5.8S ribosomal RNA". Lineage: Eukaryota; Viridiplantae; Streptophyta; Magnoliopsida; Liliales; Liliaceae. The record is from RNAcentral.